AAGUCGUAACAAGGUUUCCGUAGGUGAACCUGCGGAAGGAUCAUUACAACGUAUCCACGUACCAAACUCUCGAACUGUUCCCAACGGAGCAAACCACUUGUGGAUGAAGUUAAUGGCUGGCUGUCUUUCGCUGAUGGAGUCCACUGACUUUUGUCAGAGGGCUGAAAGGCAUUCAGUCGCCAGAGCUCUGCUUUGGGACUUCGUUUGCUUCGUUGCGGUUUUUACCGUCAGCAACGUUUUACUAUCAUUAACCCUUUGAACUUCUGAACUGAACUUGAAAGCCUCGCAGCAGUCCUCGCUGGCUUCGGUCACGGACUUUGCAGCUUGGUUUUUCUGAUUUUACGAAACAAAGAACAACUCUUAGCAACGGAUAUCUUGGUUCUC
This 384-nucleotide unclassified non-coding RNA is filed under the name fungal sp. RNAcentral describes it as "partial internal transcribed spacer region". The stretch from base 1 to 46 matches the Rfam family "Eukaryotic small subunit ribosomal RNA", at positions 1786 to 1831 of the family's 1831-position model. Lineage: Eukaryota; Fungi. The record is from RNAcentral.